GACGGGGCCGCACAAGCGGUGGAGCAUGUGGUUUAAUUCGAUGAUACGCGAGGAACCUUACCUGGGCUCAAAUGUAUGUUGACGUAUUCUGAAAGGGAUACUUCUUCGGACAAUAUACAAGGUGCUGCAUGGUUGUCGUCAGCUCGUGCCGUGAGGUGUCGGGUUAAGUCCCAUAACGAGCGCAACCCUAUCAUUAGUUGCCAUCAGGUCAAGCUGGGGACUCUAAUGAAACUGCCUACGCAAGUAGUGAGGAAGGUGGGGAUGACGUCAAAUCAGCACGGCCCUUACGUCCAGGGCUACACACGUGCUACAAUGGCCGGUACAAAGGGCAGCUACCUGGUGACAGGAUGCUAAUCUCAAAAGUCGGUCUCAGUUCGGAUCGGAGUCUGCAACCCGACUCCGUGAAGUUGGAUUCGCUAGUAAUCGCGCAUCAGCCAUGGCGCGGUGAAUACGUUCCCGGGCCUU
This 465-nucleotide ribosomal RNA is filed under the name uncultured Sphingobacteriales bacterium. RNAcentral's name for it is "bacterial SSU rRNA". It matches the Rfam family "Bacterial small subunit ribosomal RNA", at positions 917 to 1381 of the family's 1533-position model. Lineage: Bacteria; Pseudomonadati; Bacteroidota; Sphingobacteriia; Sphingobacteriales. The record is from RNAcentral.